This 309-nucleotide small RNA is filed under the name Histoplasma capsulatum. RNAcentral describes it as "hypothetical RNA". The record is from RNAcentral. Lineage: Eukaryota; Fungi; Ascomycota; Eurotiomycetes; Onygenales; Ajellomycetaceae. RNAcentral also lists the same sequence under 1 other name.
GAGCUGACGAGUUCCCUCUCUCUCGUGGUGAAGUAAACACCACUCGUGAUUGGGAAAAAUUCAUCCUGAUGCCGAAACCCGCAGUUGAGAAAGUUGUUCGGUGUUGGGAGGUAGAGAAGUUCAGUGUGUACCGUCUGUGAGAUAUGCAAAUAUAUCAUAAGAUGGGGGUUCCCACCUUAAAGAUUGGUCCUUUUUCGUGCAGUGGUAAAACCUCCCAAGAACAUUGCAUGUUCUACAUGUGUUUUCACACCCCGCCUGGAUCCCCUGAAUGUGUCUUUGACAAAACACAGAUAAUGGAUUAUUACACGC